RNAcentral lists this ribosomal RNA (503 nucleotides) under uncultured bacterium. RNAcentral describes it as "partial 16S ribosomal RNA". It matches the Rfam family "Bacterial small subunit ribosomal RNA", at positions 899 to 1397 of the family's 1533-position model. The record is from RNAcentral.
ACUCAAAUGAAUAGACGGGGGCCCGCACAAGCGGUGGAGCAUGUUGUUUAAUACGUCACUAACCGUAGAACCUUACCAGGGCUUGACAUCGGUCGCUAGCCGGUGAAAGCCGGUGUUCGGAGCAAUCCGACGGCAUGACAGGUGUUGCAUGGCUGUCGUCAGCUCGUGUCGUGAGAUGUUGGGUUAAGUCCCGCAACGAGCGCAACCCUCACCCCAUGUUGCCAGCGGAUAAUGCCGGGAACUCUUGGGGAACUGCCCGGGUAACCGGGAGGAAGGUGAGGACGACGUCAAGUCAGCAUGGCCCUUACGCCCUGGGCUACAAACAUGCUACAAUGGACGGUAUACAGAGGGAUCCGAGACCGCGAGGUGGAGGCAAUCUCAAAAAUCCGUCCCCAGUUCAGAUCGCAGGCUGCAACUCGCCUGCGUGAAGUCGGAAUCGCUAGUAACCGCAGAUCAGCUAAGCUGCGGUGAAUACGUUCCCGGGCCUUGCACACACCGCCCGU